Molecule: long non-coding RNA, 1353 nt
Filed under: Bemisia tabaci
Lineage: Eukaryota; Metazoa; Arthropoda; Insecta; Hemiptera; Aleyrodidae
Description: lncRNA ENSSSA2NGG000296
Source: RNAcentral
AUGAUGUUCGUGUCGAGGCUGUUUCUCGUUUGCCUUUUGGCUGCUCUCACGGCUCAGAUCUCCACAAGUCCAGUCCCUGCGAACUAUGACGAACCGGCCGAAGGACAGACUGAUGGGGUUUACGAUGAAACCGCAUAUGCUGAGCCCGUGAACGACGAAACCGAUGACGCACCAACCAAUGACUACAGCGACGGUAACGAAGACACCGCUGCUGAAAUCACCGAUGAAGCAACCGCCGAUUCAACGCACGAAGAAGUUACCGAAGCACCUAACUUCGACGCAACCGAUGGGACCAUCGACGAUUCCAUCAAUGAGAUACCUGACGGUGAGCAACAACUGGAGGGUCGCGAUCUUUUCACCCCGAGCAGACAGUUCCGCGUCUCGAGCAGGAGUGCUCCACAGGAGUCAACGGACGUAGAUGCUAAGCCGGCCAUGGAUAUCACACCUAUCCUCAAGAUGUCUCACAAUGCAAUGCUGCAGACAGUGCGCAGUGCACGCUCCGGCACGAACGCGGCUUACAACGUCAUGGACAAGACCCUCGAGCUACUCCAAUCCCUCCACGAACGGAAGAAGCAGUUGGUCAAGGACUACGUGAAACCAGUUGCAUCAACGGGGAUCAGCAAGGCUAUCGAUACGGUGGAUAGUGGGCUGGACACCACCUUGAGCGGCAUAAAGAUGGGGGUCAAGCAAGGGCGCAGUCUGGCCGAAGGCACCUUGACCGAUAUCGAGGGUCGACUACAGAGGGGCGAGUCCAUCCUACCGGCAGGAGUACAAGAUGGAUUUGAUAGGGUCAGCAAGGCUAUCGGAGCUUGGGUAAACGGAAACAGACCUUCCGAAGUAGAUGAGGAUUCAGAGGAAGACCUGAGGCAGGAGGAAGAAUUGAGGAUGAAGCAUGACGAGGAAUUGGCCCGGCAGGAGAGGGAGGCACAAGAACUGAGGUACGAGGAAGAACUGAAGUACGCACAAGCACUGAAAGCCGCGGAGGAAAUGAAAGCUGCACAGGAACUGAAAGCUGCGCAAGAAGCGAGGGAACAAGAACUGAGAGCUGCGCAAGAAGCAAGGGAACAAGAACUGAGAGCUGCACAGGAACUGAAAGCUGCGCAAGAAGUGAAAGAGCAAGAGCUGAAAGCUGCAAAGGAACUAGAGCGAAAACAGCAGGCACUAAAAGAGGCCCAAGAGGCGCAGGCAGCGAAAGCUGCUAAAGAAGCCAUUGUUCCGGUCACCUCAACCGCUAGACGCGCGGGUCGUAUGCUAAGUCAAAGUCAACAAGGUGGUCGGGCUCAAGUAGGUAAUUCAAGUCCAACUGCAAGGAGGUCUUUCAGAUUCCCGCGAUCCUUCCGUUUGACAAAUUAA